RNAcentral lists this transfer RNA (64 nucleotides) under Typhlatya sp. JR2016. RNAcentral describes it as "tRNA-Tyr". It matches the Rfam family "tRNA". From Rfam's summary of the family: Transfer RNA (tRNA) molecules are approximately 80 nucleotides in length. Their secondary structure includes four short double-helical elements and three loops (D, anti-codon, and T loops). Lineage: Eukaryota; Metazoa; Arthropoda; Malacostraca; Decapoda; Atyidae. The record is from RNAcentral.
GGUCAAAUGGCUGAGAUAAGGCGGUAGAUUGUAAAUUUAUAGACGGGGAAGCCCCCUUUGACUA